This 253-nucleotide ribosomal RNA is filed under the name uncultured bacterium. RNAcentral describes it as "partial 16S ribosomal RNA". It matches the Rfam family "Bacterial small subunit ribosomal RNA", at positions 524 to 776 of the family's 1533-position model. The record is from RNAcentral.
UACAGAGGUGGCGAGCGUUGUUCGGAAUUACUGGGCGUAAAGGGCUCGUAGGUGGCCAACUAAGUCAGACGUGAAAUCCCCAGGCUCAACUUGGGAACUGCGUCUGAUACUGGAUGGCUUGAAUUCGGGAGAGGGAUGCAGAAUUCCAGGUGUAGCGGUGAAAUGCGUAGAUAUCUGGAGGAAUACCGGUGGCGAAGGCGGCAUCCUGGACCGAUAUUGACACUGAGGAGCGAAAGCCAGGGGAGCAAACGGG